RNAcentral lists this long non-coding RNA (1502 nucleotides) under Volvox carteri. RNAcentral describes it as "long non-coding RNA (VCAR_LNC003958)". Lineage: Eukaryota; Viridiplantae; Chlorophyta; Chlorophyceae; Chlamydomonadales; Volvocaceae. The record is from RNAcentral.
CUAGUAGUGGGCCCAGAACCUUGUGCAUCAGGGUAGCGAACACGGCGGCUGCUCCCUUUAGACCCAUGGGCAUUCGUACAUAUCGAUACUGAGCUGUGGGCGUGGCAAAUGCCGUACGCUCCUUAGAAGCCUCGUCCGCCAUCGGGACUUGCCAGUAGCCCGACUUCAAGUCCAGGCUGGAGUAGUAACGAGUCUCGCCACCCGGAGGUGCAGCAAUAUCCAAAAUAUCCUGGAUGUGACCUAUCGGAAACCGGAUGUCCUUAGUGACGUCGUUGACCCUCCGCAUAUCUACACAGGGCCGAAGUUCUCCGUUUUUCUUGGGAACGACUACGACUGGAGACACCCAAGGACUGUUGGACAGUUCGAUGAUUCCGUCCUGUAGCAUCUGCCGCAUCUCAGCAUCAACGGUGGCUUUCUCCGUUCGUGACAGACGGUAAGGAUUCUGCACGAUAGGAGGAUGAUCUCCCGUGUCCACCUUCAUGGACACCCAGGACGUAAGCCCUAGCUCUCGGUUGGUUAAGGCGAACAUGUCAAAGUUGUCAGUCAAACAUGCGACCAGCUGCUGGUGGUCGAGGUACUGAAGAUCGGUGUUUACUUUGCUGCUUAGCAACUCGCGUAGCUCAGGGGUAGGGCUCUUGACUGGCCGAACCGCACGGGCUACCAACCCGCGAAAAUGAGCUUCCUCUAAAUGUCCGUCGUGAUCCAAGCCGUCUGGGGCAAGGGCAGCUGGCAUGUUCGCAUUAAACUGUGCUGCCGCCGCAUGGCUGUGGGUAACGGGAGCACACUCCUCAGUUAGCAAUCGUGGUAACAGGAGCUCUCGCGAACUCAAGACGGGAAUAGUUUCAGGAAAAGAACGGAAUGGAUCCGCAGGGGUCGAUAUUGGCAGUCCAGGUCCGGAGUGCGAGUCAUUGUCGUACUCGAACUCAUCUCCAGGCCAGACAUUUGCCCGAGCCUCUUCACUGCCAGAACUGACGACGCUGUCGGUACUCCAUGCAUCCGCAGCCCAUUCGCCGCUGGAGGCAUUUUCCGACGGAAUCACGUCCGACCUAAGCACUUGCCGUACAAGUAUGUCGACGAUGUGUUCCAUGUCCAUGUCCCCACGGGCUGUCGAAUCACCAUCACUAACCUCUCCGCUGCUUUCCUCAGGCGAAUCAAUGGUCUCAGGCGCGGAGCCUCUAUUGAUAGCCGCAGGCGACAUCUGCCCUUGUGGCGUGGGCGUCUCAGGCCGCUGUACUGAUGCCUCGGCCGUCAACAUGGAAGCUGGUUGAGUGUCGUCUUGCUCAGGUGAGUCGUCCCAAAGUCGAGCAGACGGGGAAAUAUUAGAGCCGGGGCUCCGAAGAAAAUGGAUAGCAAUGUUGGACCGCUGAUCCCGGUCAUUGGUGUAUUCCAGACGACCACUGUCGUACGAAAUACUUGCUCGUAUUGGGUAGAGGAAGUCGGUGCCCAGGAGUAGCUGAUAGUUGAGGGCGGUGCUGACGAACGGACUCAGCAGCGUCGUUAGG